Mauremys reevesii (Reeves's turtle) is the source of this 285-nucleotide long non-coding RNA. RefSeq lists it as uncharacterized. The record is from RefSeq and is a predicted model, not a curated record. NCBI's taxonomy places the organism in Eukaryota, Metazoa, Chordata, Testudines, Geoemydidae. The transcript is spliced from 3 exons.
CUUUGUGAAACCGCUGCUUAAAGGAAACCAUUUAUCAAGCGUUCAGCUCACAGGGAAGGACAGAGAAUGGCAGACAAAAAAAUUUAUAUGAAUGUGAAUAUUGGAAAAGCACCUCUCCAGCCUCCAGCAAAACAUCCUGAGACACCAACUGCGCCAUCUCGCAAGACCUCAGACAUCCUCUGUGCCCUGCCCGUUGUUCUGAGCGUGGCUCUGGGCAUCUCCCUCAUUGCAGUGACCGUCAUGUAUUUCCAGGGACAGAAAAGGCUACGAGAUGUAGAAGAAGCG